Molecule: ribosomal RNA, 497 nt
Filed under: uncultured bacterium
Lineage: Bacteria
Description: partial 16S ribosomal RNA
Rfam family: Bacterial small subunit ribosomal RNA
Source: RNAcentral
GAUGAACGCUGGCGGCGUGCCUAAUACAUGCAAGUCGAGCGAACAGACGAGGAGCUUGCUCCUCUGACGUUAGCGGCGGACGGGUGAGUAACACGUGGAUAACCUACCUAUAAGACUGGGAUAACUUCGGGAAACCGGAGCUAAUACCGGAUAAUAUAUUGAACCGCAUGGUUCAAUAGAGAAAGACGAUUUUGCUGUCACUUAUAGAUGGAUCCUCGCCGCAUUAGCUAGUUGGUAAGGUAACGGCUUACCAAAGCAACGAUGCGUAGCCGACCUGAGGGGGGGAUCGGCCAAACGGGAACUGAGACACGGUCCAGACUCCUACGGGAGGCAGCAGUAGGGAAUCUUCCGCAAUGGGCGAAAGCCUGACGGAGCAACGCCGCGUGAGUGAUGAAGGUCUUCGGAUCUUAAAACUCUGUUAUUAGGGAAGAACAAUUGUGUAAGUAACUAUGCACGUCUUGACGGUACCUUAUCAGAAAGCCACGGCUAACUACGUG